UACGGAGGGUGCAAGCGUUAAUCGGAAUUACUGGGCGUAAAGCGCGCGUAGGUGGUUUGAUAAGCGAGAUGUGAAAGCCUCGGGCUUAACCUGAGAACGGCAUUUCGAACUGUCAGGCUAGAGUGUGGUAGAGGGUAGUGGAAUUUCCUGUGUAGCGGUGAAAUGCGUAGAUAUAGGAAGGAACACCAGUGGCGAAGGCGGCUACCUGGACCAACACUGACACUGAGGUGCGAAAGCGUGGGGAGCAAACAGG
RNAcentral lists this ribosomal RNA (253 nucleotides) under uncultured bacterium. Its description in RNAcentral is "partial 16S ribosomal RNA". It matches the Rfam family "Bacterial small subunit ribosomal RNA", at positions 524 to 776 of the family's 1533-position model. The record is from RNAcentral.